AUUGAACGCUGGCGGCAGGCCUAACACAUGCAAGUCGAACGGUAACAGGGUUCCGCUUGCUGAUUCGCUGACGAGUGGCGGACGGGUGAGUAAUGUCUGGGAAACUGCCUGAUGGAGGGGGAUAACUACUGGAAACGGUAGCUAAUACCGCAUAACGUCGCAAGACCAAAGAGGGGGACCUUCGGGCCUCUUGCCUUCGGAUGUGCCCAGAUGGGAUUGGCUAGUAGGUGGGGUAACGGCUCACCUAGGCGACGAUCCCUAGCUGGUCUGAGAGGAUGACCAGCCACACUGGAACUGAGACACGGUCCAGACUCCUACGGGAGGCAGCAGUGGGGAAUAUUGCACAAUGGGCGCAAGCCUGAUGCAGCCAUGCCGCGUGUAUGAAGAAGGCCUUCGGGUUGUAAAGUACUUUCAGCGGGGAGGAAGGGAGUAAAGUUAAUACCUUUGCUCAUUGACGUUACCCGCAGAAGAAGCACCGGCUAACUCCGUG
This 490-nucleotide ribosomal RNA is filed under the name uncultured bacterium. Its description in RNAcentral is "partial 16S ribosomal RNA". It matches the Rfam family "Bacterial small subunit ribosomal RNA", at positions 30 to 507 of the family's 1533-position model. The record is from RNAcentral.